CAGAACAGGAACUCAAACAGGGCGGUA
RNAcentral lists this non-coding RNA (27 nucleotides) under Mus musculus (house mouse). Lineage: Eukaryota; Metazoa; Chordata; Mammalia; Rodentia; Muridae. The record is from RNAcentral.